This 126-nucleotide microRNA precursor is filed under the name Myotis lucifugus (little brown bat). RNAcentral's name for it is "mir-9193 microRNA precursor family". It matches the Rfam family "mir-9193 microRNA precursor family". Lineage: Eukaryota; Metazoa; Chordata; Mammalia; Chiroptera; Vespertilionidae. The record is from Rfam by way of RNAcentral.
CAUGCACCGGUGGGGUCCCUUGGCCUGGCCUGUGCCCUCUCGAAAUCUGGGACCCCUCGGGGGAUGUUGGAGAGCCCGUUUAGGCCCGAUCCCACAGGCCAGGCCGAGGGACCCCACUGGUGCACA